Molecule: unclassified non-coding RNA, 338 nt
Filed under: Hevea brasiliensis (rubber tree)
Lineage: Eukaryota; Viridiplantae; Streptophyta; Magnoliopsida; Malpighiales; Euphorbiaceae
Source: RNAcentral
CAAACGAGUCGCCAAUGCUGCUACAAGUCACGAAUGAUCAGAACGCGAGACACGAAAUUGAGAGGGAAGAAUAUCACCUCACAGCCAAAGAUGGUGAUUUACAUAGCCAAACAGUGCUUUUGAAUGGAAAUGAACUUAAUGUGGAUCAUUUUGGAAGAAUCCCUCUGUUAGAACCUGUAAGAGUAAACCCCUCUCAUCCAAUUUCUAUUGCUCCUCUUUCAAUUGUAUUUGUCCACAUUCCCUCUAUUCAAGUGCCUGCUUGUAGUAUGUAUACAAGAGAGUACAUGUAAGAGUUAUUUCAAUACUUUGAUCAUGAAUUUAUUUGAGUAAUAAAUAAG